RNAcentral lists this ribosomal RNA (474 nucleotides) under uncultured bacterium. RNAcentral describes it as "partial 16S ribosomal RNA". It matches the Rfam family "Bacterial small subunit ribosomal RNA", at positions 28 to 523 of the family's 1533-position model. The record is from RNAcentral.
GAUGAACGCUGACAGAAUGCUUAACACAUGCAAGUCUACUUGAUUCUACUUCGGUAGUUGAUGGUGGCGGACGGGUGAGUAACGCGUAAAGAAUCUGCCCUUUAGUUUGGGAUAACCUUUGGAAACGAAGGCUAAUACCGGAUAUUAUGGAGACGUCGCAUGACGACUCCAUGAAAGCUAUAUGCGCUAGAGGAGGACUUUGCGUCCCAUUAGUUAGUUGGUGAGGUAAUGGCUCACCAAGACCGCGAUGGGUAGCCGGCCUGAGAGGGUGAUCGGCCACAAGGGAACUGAGACACGGUCCUUACUCCUACGGGAGGCAGCAGUGGGGAAUAUUGGACGAUGGGGGCAACCCUGAUCCAGCCAUGCCGCGUGAGUGAUGAAGGCCUUAGGGUUGUAAAGCUCUUUCACCGGGGAAGAUAAUGACGGUACCCGGAGAAGAAGCCCCGGCUAACUUCGUGCCAGCCGCCGCAGUAA